CAAUUGUCUGACUCAACAAUAGGAAUAAAAUACUGAAAAUAAAAACAUAAUAAAAAUGAUGGGUUGCCUCCCACCAAACGCUUUCUUUUACGUCACUGAGCUUGACGCUUCGACCACUGUUAGGGUGGCAAAUAUGAUAGAAAGAAUAUAUCAUCCUUCUUCUUCCUCUUGUUUGGUAGGAAUUCCAUGAAUUUGGCACAAAGCAGUAGAUGCUCCCAUGCUCCAGCCACUAAAUCUUUGUCAUUUGAGCUCUCCCACCUUAAAGAAGGACAUGCAUCUAUUUGCAUAAGAGUGAUUUCCUUAACCUCCGUUGAUCCAGACUUCGAGAAAAUAUCAACACUCCUCACCUUGCGAUUUUCUUCGACCACAACCUUGUGACACUCAGUCUCCAUCUGAACCAACUUCCUCUGAGACUCAUGUGCUUUCUCAACAAGAUCACCACACUGAACAUCAAACUUCUCAAAUGAAACUUGAUUUGACACCAAAAAAUCAUCUAAAAUAUUUUGAAGUUGAGUAUUGUAAU
This 523-nucleotide long non-coding RNA is filed under the name Medicago truncatula (barrel medic). Its description in RNAcentral is "long non-coding RNA (MTRU_LNC008564)". Lineage: Eukaryota; Viridiplantae; Streptophyta; Magnoliopsida; Fabales; Fabaceae. The record is from RNAcentral.